This 468-nucleotide ribosomal RNA is filed under the name uncultured bacterium. RNAcentral describes it as "partial 16S ribosomal RNA". It matches the Rfam family "Bacterial small subunit ribosomal RNA", at positions 28 to 507 of the family's 1533-position model. The record is from RNAcentral.
GACGAACGCUGGCGGCGUGCUUAACACAUGCAAGUCGAACGGAAAGGCCCUGCUUUUGUGGGGUGCUCGAGUGGCGAACGGGUGAGUAACACGUGAGUAACCUGCCCUUGACUUUGGGAUAACUUCAGGAAACUGGGGCUAAUACCGGAUAGGAGCUCCUGCUGCAUGGUGGGGGUUGGAAAGUUUCGGCGGUUGGGGAUGGACUCGCGGCUUAUCAGCUUGUUGGUGGGGUAGUGGCUUACCAAGGCUUUGACGGGUCGCCGGCCUGAGAGGGUGACCGGCCACAUUGGGACUGAGAUACGGCCCAGACUCCUACGGGAGGCAGCAGUGGGGAAUAUUGCACAAUGGGCGGAAGCCUGAUGCAGCAACGCCGCGUGCGGGAUGACGGCCUUCGGGUUGUAAACCGCUUCCGCCUGUGACGAAGCGUGAGUGACGGUAAUGGGUAAAGAAGCACCGGCUAACUACGUG